UUGGCAGAUGAUGAGAAGCAAAGACAAUGCAUCUGCAGUGCUCCUCAUUCGUGGGGGCUCAAUAGCAUGAUGACUCUGUCUAGGGGAAUCUCUGAUGCUAA
This 101-nucleotide small nucleolar RNA is filed under the name Setaria italica (foxtail millet). RNAcentral describes it as "snoRNA snoR44_J54". It matches the Rfam family "Small nucleolar RNA R44/J54/Z268 family". Rfam says of the family: R44, J54 and Z268 are members of the C/D class of snoRNA which contain the C (UGAUGA) and D (CUGA) box motifs. Most of the members of the box C/D family function in directing site-specific 2'-O-methylation of substrate RNAs. Lineage: Eukaryota; Viridiplantae; Streptophyta; Magnoliopsida; Poales; Poaceae. RNAcentral also lists the same sequence under 1 other name. The record is from Rfam by way of RNAcentral.